CAACAUCGUUUCUUUUGCUCGUAAGCCAGCGCUAGCUGUUGCCUAAAAACCUCUCAUAGGUUCGAGCGUCUACGGUUUGACUCCGUUAAGGACUGUAGACCAAACCCCAACGGAUGCUCCAGCUAGGCACCUCUGGUUGCCUACUGGCUAAGACUUUACCAGAGCAUCCUGUUAUCCGGGAUAAUGGAUAAUCCCCGCUUCAAGGGCUAGAGAAGCUAAACCUGUGAAUGAGCGAAGUAUUAAUACCCAGAGCGGACACGGGUUCGACUCCCGUCAGCUCCAUUA
Molecule: transfer-messenger RNA, 285 nt
Filed under: Leptolyngbyaceae cyanobacterium SL_5_14
Lineage: Bacteria; Bacillati; Cyanobacteriota; Cyanophyceae; Leptolyngbyales; Leptolyngbyaceae
Description: partial transfer-messenger RNA
Rfam family: transfer-messenger RNA
About the family: Bacterial tmRNA, also known as 10Sa RNA or SsrA, is named for its dual tRNA and mRNA-like properties. Its role is to liberate the mRNA from a stalled ribosome. To accomplish this part of the tmRNA is used as a reading frame that ends in a translation stop signal.
Source: RNAcentral